AUAAGUAGUACUCCCUCCGUUCCAAAAAAAAACCUAACUCUAGAUUUAAAUCUGGACAUAGUGUAUAUCCAAAUUCAAACCCAGAAUUUAAUUUCUUUUUUUGACAGAGGGUGUAUAUUACUAUAUAUUAUAUCACUUUCAUCUUCGUGCACUUGCUGGCGCUGCCAACUGUGCCACGUAGACUACCAUUAAGCUCCUUUAAUUAACUCGAUCUACUUCUGACAGAUGUACUCCUAUAUAGUAUGACAGUGCUCUCUCGUCUACCUGCAAUGCAAAUUGGAGUAAACCCCUAGCUAGAAGAGGCUAGAGAAGAGCAAAUCUCUCCCUUCUCCCUUGUGUCCAAUGCAUCUCUUGAAUUUACUGUACUCUGGAGUAGAAGAUACGAACAAUGCUCAGUAGUACAGUAAAUCCAUGGAUGGAACGGUAGAGUCGGUGUUUGCGGGCGUGGCAUCAUCAAGAUUCACAUCCAUGCAUAUAUCACAAGACGCACAUAUACAUCCGAUUUGGCUGAGAAUCUUGAUGAUGCUGCAUCCGCAGACAAGCGCCUUUUUUUCUUUUCAAAGGUAAGCUCCUCUGCUAUUCAAAGACCAUACAUUAGUUGUUCAUCAUCUUCAUCCUUGUUACUCCCUCCGUUUCACAAUGUAAAACAUCCUAGCAUUUUUCACAUUCAUAUUGAUACUAAUGAAUCUAGACAUCUUACAUUGUGAAACGGUGAAACGGAGAGAGUAUUAUAUAUGGC
RNAcentral lists this precursor RNA (739 nucleotides) under Oryza sativa Japonica Group (Japanese rice). Its description in RNAcentral is "putative precursor microRNA R172a". The stretch from base 433 to 541 matches the Rfam family "mir-172 microRNA precursor family". The record is from RNAcentral. Lineage: Eukaryota; Viridiplantae; Streptophyta; Magnoliopsida; Poales; Poaceae.